Molecule: ribosomal RNA, 253 nt
Filed under: uncultured bacterium
Lineage: Bacteria
Description: partial 16S ribosomal RNA
Rfam family: Bacterial small subunit ribosomal RNA
Source: RNAcentral
UACGGAGGGUGCAAGCGUUGUCCGGAAUCAUUGGGCGUAAAGCGCGCGUAGGUGGCCUCAUAAGUCCGCUGUGAAAGUCAAAGGCUCAACCUUUGAAAGCCGGUGGAUACUGUGGGGCUAGAGUACGGAAGAGGCGAGUGGAAUUCCUGGUGUAGCGGUGGAAUGCGCAGAUAUCAGGAGGAACACCAAUAGCGAAGGCAGCUCGCUGGGACGUUACUGACACUGAGGCGCGAAAGCGUGGGGAGCGAACAGG